UUCCGGUUGAUCCUGCCAGAGGUCACUGCUAUCGGGGUUCGAUUAAGCCAUGCGAGUCGAGAGGGUUCGGCCCUCGGCGUACUGCUCAGUAACACGUGGAUAACCUGCCCUAGGGGAGGGGAUAACCCCGGGAAACUGGGGAUAAUACCCUAUAGGUUACAGAUGCUGGAAUGCCCUGUAACCAAAAGCUCCGGCGCCCUAGGAUGGAUCUGCGGCCGAUUAGGUUGUUGUUGGGGUAACGGCCCAACAAGCCCGUAAUCGGUACGGGUUGUGGGAGCAAGAGCCCGGAGUUGGAUUCUGAGACACGAAUCCAGGCCCUACGGGGCGCAGCAGGCGCGAAACCUUUACAAUGCGGGCAACCGUGAUAAGGGAACCUCGAGUGCCUGUAAACGCAGGCUGUUCAGGUGUUUAAAACGCACCUGGAGAAAGGGCCGGGCAAGACCGGUGCCAGCCGCCGCGGUAAUACCGGCGGCUCGAGUGGUGGCCGCUUUUAUUGGGCUUAAAGCGUUCGUAGCUGGGUUGUUAAGUCUCUUGGGAAAUCUGGCGGCUUAACCGUCAGGCGUCUAAGGGAUACUGGCAAUCUUGGAACCGGGAGAGGUGAGGGGUACUUCGGGGGUAGGGGUGAAAUCCUGUAAUCCUCGAGGGACCACCUGUGGCGAAGGCGCCUCACCAGAACGGCCUCGACAGUGAGGGACGAAAGCUGGGGGAGCAAACCGGAUUAGAUACCCGGGUAGUCCCAGCCGUAAACGAUGCGCGUUAGGUGUAUCGGUGACCACGAGUUACCGAGGUGCCGAAGGGAAACCGUGAAACGCGCCGCCUGGGGAAGUACGGUCGCAAGGCUGAAACUUAAAGGAAUUGGCGGGGGGAGCACCACACGGGUGGAGCCUGCGGUUUAUUGGAUUCAACGCCGGAA
This 913-nucleotide ribosomal RNA is filed under the name uncultured archaeon. RNAcentral's name for it is "bacterial SSU rRNA". It matches the Rfam family "Archaeal small subunit ribosomal RNA", at positions 1 to 923 of the family's 1478-position model. The record is from RNAcentral.